GUGCCAGCAGCCGCGGUAAUACGGAGGGUGCGAGCGUUAAUCGGAAUGACUGGGCGUAAAGCGCGCGUAGGCGGCUUGGUAAGCCGGUUGUGAAAGCCCCGGGCUCAACCUGGGAAUGGCAUCCGGAACUGUCAGGCUAGAGUGCAGGAGAGGAAGGUAGAAUUCCCGGUGUAGCGGUGAAAUGCGUAGAGAUCGGGAGGAAUACCAGUGGCGAAGGCGGCCUUCUGGACUGACACUGACGCUGAGGUGCGAAAGCGUGGGUAGCAAACAGGAUUAGAUACCCUGGUAGUCC
RNAcentral lists this ribosomal RNA (292 nucleotides) under uncultured microorganism. RNAcentral describes it as "partial 16S ribosomal RNA". It matches the Rfam family "Bacterial small subunit ribosomal RNA", at positions 505 to 796 of the family's 1533-position model. The record is from RNAcentral.